Molecule: long non-coding RNA, 246 nt
Filed under: Rattus norvegicus (Norway rat)
Lineage: Eukaryota; Metazoa; Chordata; Mammalia; Rodentia; Muridae
Description: long non-coding RNA NONRATT010604
Source: RNAcentral
CCGCGGGAGGAGGGGGUUGAGCUGGCUCCGGAGUUGCCCAAAGAAGCCCUCGAAGGCACGAGCAGCCGGCGCCUUCGGCAGAGGAGGAGGAGGAGGGAUCGCGUCGGGCGGAGCUUCAGGUCCUGUUCGCCUCUCCGGCUUCUCCAUACAAAGAUUACGGUGCAGAAGGAAAUUGCACUCGCCUCCUCCGCCCCCCGGUACCCAGCACAAUGCACCAGCCGCCAGAGUCCACCGCCGCGGCGGCCG